AAAGCGGGUCCACAGAAGGUCUGGCGAACCAUUUGUCACUGCAGGCCUAAGUUUCUCGUAACCUUUUCAUUCGCUUUAGAGGUACCGCCUAUAUUAUUACAUGACAUGAUUACUACUACGUCAAAGAAUGAAGAGUCUCGCAAACCCGCCGAAGAGGGAAGAUCCACGUGGCCGUCUCGGCCAUCUUGAAAACGUGUCUGUGAAAUCGUUCACCAAUAUCUCAAUUUACUUCACGAAAAUUCCUAGUUCAACAGAAACAACAUCAUUGAAUUGAUGAGCUCCUGCGUCCUGAUGCCCUAUACAUGUACAGAGACUGCCGCUUCUCAGCUCAACUAAGAAAACUUGAUAAUUGACGCCAAAGAACUUGUUCACGUGCUCUAUCCAGCCCAUUCUCCAUACGAUGGCGACUCGAUUUCAGUUCUUCAGUUAAUCUGUAACUUCAUUUAAUCUGUAUGAU
This is a long non-coding RNA of Lineus longissimus, 457 nucleotides long. RefSeq lists it as uncharacterized. The record is from RefSeq and is a predicted model, not a curated record. Lineage: Eukaryota; Metazoa; Nemertea; Pilidiophora; Heteronemertea; Lineidae. The transcript has 3 exons.